RNAcentral lists this microRNA precursor (207 nucleotides) under Oryza glumipatula. Its description in RNAcentral is "MIR812 microRNA precursor family". It matches the Rfam family "MIR812 microRNA precursor family". Lineage: Eukaryota; Viridiplantae; Streptophyta; Magnoliopsida; Poales; Poaceae. The record is from Rfam by way of RNAcentral.
AAUAACUCAAUUCCUGAGUUUCCGUGUCCAACAUUUGACCGUCCGUCUUAUUUGAAAAAAUUAUGAAAAAAUUUAAAAAGAUAAAUCAUGUAUAAAGUACUAUUUAUGUUUUAUCAUUUAACAACAAUGAAAAUACUAAUCAUAAAAAAGUUUCAUAUAAGACGGAUAGUCAAACGUAGGACACGAAAACCUAGGAAUUGAGUCUUU